RNAcentral lists this ribosomal RNA (251 nucleotides) under uncultured prokaryote. RNAcentral describes it as "partial 16S rRNA". It matches the Rfam family "Bacterial small subunit ribosomal RNA", at positions 525 to 775 of the family's 1533-position model. The record is from RNAcentral.
ACGGAGGAUCCGAGCGUUAUCCGGAUUUACUGGGUUUAAAGGGUGCGUAGGCGGGCGCUUAAGUCAGCGGUGAAAUGCGGGGGCUCAACCUUCGAACGGCCGUUGAUACUGGGCGCCUUGGAUUCGGUCGAGGCGGGCGGAAUGCGUGGUGUAGCGGUGAAAUGCUUAGAUAUCACGCAGAACGCCGAUUGCGAAGGCAGCUCGCCGGGCCGAUAUUGACGCUGAGGCACGAAAGCGUGGGGAUCGAACAG